This 378-nucleotide unclassified non-coding RNA is filed under the name soil metagenome. Its description in RNAcentral is "partial contains 5.8S ribosomal RNA, internal transcribed spacer 2, and large subunit ribosomal RNA". The stretch from base 1 to 120 matches the Rfam family "5.8S ribosomal RNA", at positions 35 to 154 of the family's 154-position model. The record is from RNAcentral.
GAUGAAGAACGCAGCGAAAUGCGAUAAGUAAUGUGAAUUGCAGAAUUCAGUGAAUCAUCGAAUCUUUGAACGCACAUUGCGCCCGCCAGUAUUCUGGCGGGCAUGCCUGUUCGAGCGUCAUUCCAACCCUCAAGCCCCAGCGGCCUGGUGUUGGGGACCGGCGACCUCGCCCGAGCCCGCCCUCCGGGGCGCGUGCCCGGUGCGUCCGCCGCCCCCGAAAUGAAUUGGCGGCCUCGUCGCGGCCUCCUCUGCGUAGUAGCACAACCUCGCAAGCGGGAGCGCGACGCGGCCACUGCCGUAAAACGCCCAACUUUUUUAGAGUUGACCUCGGAUCAGGUAGGAAUACCCGCUGAACUUAAGCAUAUCAAUAAGCGGAGA